GUUAAGUUGGUCAAAAGCCCAUUUCGGGCGUUGACCCGUCCCUCUCUCUCUCUCUCUCCCCCCACCGUUGAGCAACAACGAUUCCGGCAGCACCGGGCGGCGAGUCCACCACCGAAGUGAUCCUCUCCUCCUCCUCAACUCAGCCCAGUCCUUUAAUCCAGAAGACAUCCACUUUUGGCGGAGAUCGAUGGAAGAGGACGGUGAUUGUCCUUCACUGUUUUCCGACGAGGGCUUGGGCUCCGGUCAUCGAUCCACCUAACGACGUGGUCAUCACGGGAUCCGGCGAGCGUUUUUGCAUCCUUGGCGAAGUUGAGGCAUAGAGUUGGGAAGCUUGGGAGCAGCUGUUGUGGUGCGGCAUCGUGGCAGAGGGAUUGCAUGUCGAUUUCAAGUAAGGAGGAGCUGCUGAGUUCUUUGGUUUUGGAAUAGAUUUAAGGUUGGAGAAUAUAAAGAGACUAUGGCAAAAUUUCCGGCAAGUGGCCGGAAUCCAGCUGGGUAUUCCGGUCAGUCGUCGGAUUCCGGCAAUGCAGCAUUUCCAGCAGAAUACGUGAAGGUAGCUGGCAACUUUCCUUUUUCGUUUAAGUUGUAGUUUACGGUUUAGGAAAACCUGUCAUAUUGAGAAAAUUUCUAUUAUGGGAAACUCUCUAUUUAUGGAAACCCAUUUUUGGGUGCCCUUAGUGAUUUAUGGUGAGAAGUUGUGUAGAGAGGAAAUGAAUGAGGAUUGUAUGGAUGAAAAAAUCAGUUGUAUCUG
Fragaria vesca subsp. vesca is the source of this 748-nucleotide RNA transcript. RefSeq lists it as uncharacterized. The transcript has 3 exons. Lineage: Eukaryota; Viridiplantae; Streptophyta; Magnoliopsida; Rosales; Rosaceae. The record is from RefSeq and is a predicted model, not a curated record.